CCUACGGGAGGCAGCAGUGGGGAAUUUUGGACAAUGGGGGCAACCCUGAUCCAGCAAUGCCGCGUGAGUGAAGAAGGCCUUCGGGUUGUAAAGCUCUUUUGUCAGGGAAGAAACGGUUCUGGCUAAUAUCCGGAGCUAAUGACGGUACCUGAAGAAUAAGCACCGGCUAACUACGUGCCAGCAGCCGCGGUAAUACGUAGGGUGCGAGCGUUAAUCGGAAUUACUGGGCGUAAAGCGUGCGCAGGCGGUUGUGCAAGACAGAUGUGAAAUCCCCGGGCUCAACCUGGGAAUUGCAUUUGUGACUGCACGGCUAGAGUGUGUCAGAGGGGGGUAGAAUUCCACGUGUAGCAGUGAAAUGCGUAGAGAUGUGGAGGAAUACCGAUGGCGAAGGCAGCCCCCUGGGAGUAACACUGACGCUCAUGCACGAAAGACGUGGGGAGGCAAACAAGGAUUAGAUACCCUCGGUAGUCCACGCCCUAAACCGAUGUCAACUAGUUGUCGGGUCUUAAUUAGACUUGGUAACGCAGCUAACGCGUGAAGUUGACCGCCUGGGGAGUACGUCGCAAGAUUAAAACUCAAAGAGUAGUACGACGNGAGAGAGACGACGACGACGACGACGGAGGAGGAGG
This 629-nucleotide ribosomal RNA is filed under the name uncultured bacterium. RNAcentral describes it as "bacterial SSU rRNA". It matches the Rfam family "Bacterial small subunit ribosomal RNA", at positions 338 to 1533 of the family's 1533-position model. The record is from RNAcentral.